This 9962-nucleotide long non-coding RNA is filed under the name Olea europaea subsp. europaea. The record is from RNAcentral. Lineage: Eukaryota; Viridiplantae; Streptophyta; Magnoliopsida; Lamiales; Oleaceae.
UUCAAGGGUUCCAUAUGAAUUCAUUGAUUCCAUGGAAUGUUAUAUUUAUUUUAAUUUUUUUGUUUCAGAUUGGAAGAUAUCGUUUCCGAAGUGAAAAUACUAAAAUUUUCGAUGUUAAUUAAACUGUGUUAUCUUCAGGUAUUUUAUUUAUUUUAAAUAUUUCCUUCAAUUUUAUUAGGUUCAUAGCUUGUUCUGUAUUUUUUUUCCAUGAAGUUUCUUUUAUAGUAUUUAUCAUUUAACUACUACUGUUACGUGUUUGCACAUUUGGGCAACCCAUCGGGACUCACAGUCAACUUAUGCUGAACCACGUGGCACUCAAGUCGAGGUGAUUUGCAUACCCGAGGCCCACAAUCGAGGUCCACAAAAGGUGAGGCCCAUCUAUCAUUGCCUCUUGAGGAGCUACCGAAGCCCAUAUGCCGAGGCCCUUUGAAGGUGGACGAGGCCCUGUUGGCCGAAGCUCUGUAACCGAGGUAGCAGCCUCCGAAUCAUAAAGCAGCAUCUUCCAUAGAUGCUUUUCCCAAGAGAUUCUCAGCACAAAGAUCUUAUUUGAAUGAUUGAUAGGACGUUUGUCAUGAGUGUAAAUGUUAAGUCUUAUCACUAGUAGAGGUGGCUCUGCCAAUCAAUAAAUGUAUAGCAGGCUAGGUGUGGUUGAGCUUACAGUUUGACAUGUAAAUUAACCGGAUGAGGCCACGUGUACCCCGAACCAAAGGUUACGAUCUAACUUGUGACACUAUAAAUGCUCCCCCAUGUACCCCAUACAAAGGCUAAUGCAAGAAUCAAUACAAAAAAUCAUACUUUACUCAACUCUCUAUUUCUUAAUAUCUUGCAACACAAACGAGUUCAUACAUAUUUGGAUACACGUUUACAAACAUCGAUUGGUAAUUAUUAUACAAUUAGUCAAUGAACAUCCCGUCAAAUUUCGAACGUUCUCGUCCCGCGUCGUUGAGCUAUUCCCACGCCCUCGAUCCAUCCGUUUUAGAUCGUUUACGUAUCUUAGCGUGUUGGACUUUCUCUCACGUGUGCGCGGAUGAGUUCGGCAUCUAUUGGCAACAUUUUUUGGGGUCAACAGAUUGGCGCUAUCUGUGGAAAACUAUACAAUAACCACGAACAGCCUUAUGGUGAAAGUUUAUUGAAGAGGAACAUUUAGGCACCCCCUUGAAAAAAAGAUUUGUUCUUGAAAAAGAACAAGAGGAAGCCACCAUGGCAGCCAACAUGAGGGACAUUGCUAGCCAGAACAUGGCUAUGAGGGAACUCAUGGCCCAAAUGCAAGGCCAGGGAGGCUUCCCUAUUCCUCCAUACACCCCCCAAAGGUACUACCAGCAAGAAGAUGAAGUUCAAAGUCAGAGAGUUGUCUCGUCGGACUAUAGCCGAGGUAAAAGUCCAUUUGAAAAGGAAGUGAAAGUUGAUGUUUCUUCCAACUAUGCUUCAAUGUGACCCACCGAGAUCCCUUUGAACCAUGAUAACUUCCCACCUCCAUAUGAGCAAGAGCGAAGACAUAGGAGGUCAGAUAGUGUAUUUGACAGAAUCAACCCUACAGAACUGAGGCCUAGGUAACAACAGCUGGAAGAAAGGCAUGAAAAUGCCCCCCGUGCUGCACUGCCUAGAAAUAGGCGCCAAAGGAGGGAAGAGGAGAUUAGGAACUGUCCCGAAACCUCUCACCAACCACCAAGAUAUGAGGCUGAAGAAAACGAUUCAGAUGAGCAGCAGAUGUCCUAUGACUUGGACGAUGAUGAUGAAAACCUGCUAUCUUGAGGAAACUAAGGAGUGCCCAGGUCUCGAACCACUACGUUAUGCCCAAGAUACCAAAUUAUGAUAGAAGAGGUGACCCUGAGAAGCACCUGAACGAUUACAAAACUCACAUGAGCCUAAGGGACGCCAUCCCAGCUGUGAAAUGCAGAGCUUUUCACUUAACAAUUAGCGGAACAGCUGAAAUUUGGUAUAGUGGGUUAACACUUGGGAGCAUAAGAAGUUGGCCCGAAUUCAAGACUACCUUCUUGAAGAGGUUCGUUGUGAGCAAAGAGAGAGAGGCUCCCAUCCAACGUCUCCAAGAUAUAGGACAGGCACAUGGGGAGUCCCUAAAGAGCUUCCUGUCAUGCUCCAUUGAUGAGAUGACGUACUGUGUGCAAGUCACUGAUCGUGAGGCGUUAUCUGCACUGAGAGGAGGCCUGAACAUGAACACCCUGUUUUGGAGAGACGUGCAAAAUCAAGACCCCACCACCUAUGACGCCCUACUCGAGAUGAGGAGAUGGGAGAUCAUCAAUGAAGAAUUGAUUGAGCAUAGGAACAGGGCAAGUAGAAGCCUCCCACCUUAACAAAGACAGCGUGCUAGAGGGCCGACCUCCCACUUGAUGGAUUAUCAAAUGAACCAAGCUGGUAAUGAGAGUUCUAGGCAAGCACUUGUCACCACCACUCUGAAUGCAGUUCUAACCUUAGCAUAUGAGGACAUCAACUCAGUCACUAACACCCAACAGAUGGGAACUCCGCAAGGAUCCCGCAGGGGGAGAGGUCGAGGUCGGGGUUCGGGACCUAGAAAUAGGUCAAAUUCGAACCUCCCUGGAUACUGCAUAUACCACCGGUCAUGUGGUCACGAUACAACAAACUGUCGAGACUAUACUAACCGUACCCAACAAGAACCUCCUAGGGAUAGAAAUGAAUCACCCUAGGCGAAUAGGCCUUCACCUAGGUAUGACAACCGACCUGGGCGUGAAGAGGGCGCUCCCCAUCAAAGGAUAUUUCCCCGCGACGAAGGGAGCAUGAUACAGAGAGGCCCACGGAAGGGCACAGACAUCGAAGAAAUCGGCAAACUCAGGAUGAGGCCCCUGUCCACGAGGUGGAUACCAUAUUUGGAGACCCAUAUAUGGGCGGUGAAACGCGGAACGCUAAAAGGAAUUACGCCUGUGAGGCUAAAUUUCCCCUGUUUACCAGCUAUAUUGUGGACCACAUCUCCCGGAUGAAUCUUCACCCAGGAGGAUGCUGAAGGAAUUCACUACCCCCACUGCAAUGCAAUUGUGGUGAGAGCUGUCAUAGCUCGAAAUGAGCUCAAACGAAUGCUAGGUGACAACAGUAGCUUUGUCAACAUUCUAUUCGAGUCCACCUUCGACAAGAUGAUACUGGACCAUGAGUUGAUGCCCACCACCACUCCUUUGUACGGAUUUACCAGAGAUAGAAUCACUCUGAGAGGAAAGAUCACCCUUGUAGUGGAGAUGGGGGAGUCUCCCCAAACUACAAUGAACUUUAUGGAGUUUUUUAUUAUUGACAGUCGAUCGGCCUACCAUGGAGUAUUGGGUAGGCCAGCUCUAAAGGAAUUGGGAGCCGUCACCUCCAUCCACCAUCUAUGCAUGAAAUUCCCGACAAAAAAUGGGGUGGAAAUGGUGAGAGGUGAUCAAAGAGGCUCGAGAGAGUGCUAUCUAGGCUCCAUUAGAAAGGUAGAGCCCCGGGACGUCCAUGUGAUCAUCGUCGACAUAGUCAUGGCUGAUGUCCCAGGUGAUGCUCCCUCCAAACCGAAAAAUGUGGAAAUGAUCGACACACCACCCAUUCCGAAAGUAUUGGUCAUCGAUGAGAUUGACCCCGCAUAAUUGAACACGAAUCUCAAGCAUCCCUAGUUGAAGAACUUGAAAGCUUCUUGGUGGACCCCCGAGACCUAUCCAAAUUGUUGAAAGUGGGAAAAGGCUUGUCCAACAGUUUGAAAGAAAAGAUCAAGGAUUUCCUAUGUAGGAACCUUGAUGUCUUUUCUUCGAGGCAUGAGGAUAUAGUAGGCAUAGACCCCAAGGUCAGUUGCCACCACUUGAAAAUUGAUCCUAAGGUUGCCCUGCACAGACAAAAGAGGAGCCCUCAACCCUGAGAAGUAUGAGGCCCUAAAGGAAGAAGGUCAGAAGCUCAUCUAAAAUGGCUUCAUCAGAGAGGCCACCUAUCCGAGGUGGGUCUCCAACCCGGUUUUAGUGAAGAAACACAACGGAAAAUGGAGGGUAUGAAUUGAUUUCACUAACCUCAACAAAGCUUGCCCGAAGGACAGCUUUCCACUCCCAAGGAUUGACCAACUAGUAGACUCCAUGGCUAGGCACGAGUUGUUGAGCUUUAUGGACGCAUACUCCGGCUACAACAAAAUUCCCAUGCACCCGACUGAUGAGGAACACACCUCUUUUAUCACAGACAGAGGCCUUUAUUGCUAUAAGGUGAUAUCCUUCGGGUUGAAAAAUGUCGGGGCCACAUAUCAAAGGCUCGUCAACAAAAUGUUUGUGAACCUCAUCGGCAAGACAAUGGAGGUCUACGUAGAUGACAUGAUUGUGAAAAGUUUGGAAGCUGGGGACUACGUGACGUACCUCAACAACACCUUACAAAUCUUAAGAAGGUAUAGGAUGAUGCUCAACCCCCUCAAGUACGCUUUCAGGGUUGCCUCCGAAAAAUUCUUACGAUACAUGGUCAACCAACGCGAAAUUGAAGCCAACCCUGAGAAGAUUGAGGCCUUAUGCAAGAUAAGGUCCCCCUAAAAGCCAAAGGAGAUACAAAGCUUGACUGGGCGAGUGGCCACAUUUAGUUGCUUCGUCUCCAAAGUUACAGACAAAUGCCUCCCAUUUUUCAAAGUGUUGAAAGCUGGGAAGAAGUUCUAAUGGACCGCGAAAUGUGAAAAGGCCUUCCAGGCCUUAAAAGGCACCUAGGGCAGGCUCCCUCCUCUCCAAACUGAAGCUCGACAAGAUUCUUCAACUGUAUUUGGCCGUCUAUGGGUCACCUCGCUUGAACUCCAAGGCACACGCCACUUGCCUCCCUUUGGAGAGGCUGAUCAUCACUGGGAGAAGUCUCAACAUGGAUGAAUCAUCCACCAUGUUGGAAAGCGUCGUUACCUCGGACGAGAGGUCAGCGCCAUCUUUUGGCUGCCUUCUUGAACUCCGAGCCACACGCCACUUACCUCCCUUUGGCGAGGCUGAAUGCCACUGGGAGAAGUCUCAACAUGGAUGAACCAUCCAUUAUGUUGGGAAGCGUCGUCACCUUAGAUGAGAGGUUAGCGCCAUCUCUGGGCCACCUCGCUUGAACUCCAAGGUGUACGCCACUGGGAGAAGCCUCAACAUGCCUGAACCAUCCACCAUGUUGGGAAGCGUCGUCACCUCGGACGAGAGGUCAGCACCAUCUCUAGGCCACCUUGCUUGAACUCCGAGGCGCACGCCACUUGCCUCCCUUUGGUGAGGCUAAAUGUCAUUGGGAGAAGCCUCAACAUGGAUGAAUCAUCCACCAUGUUGGGAACCAUCAUCACCUAGAAGGAAAGGUCAGCAUCCCAUCUCUUUACUACCUCGCUUGAACUCCGAGGCUCACGCAACUUGCCUCCCUUUGGUGAGGCUGAAUGUCAAGGGGAAAAGCCUCAACAAGGAUCGAACUUCUUUGCCCAUUGAUUCACAAAGCUCAACCACAAUGGGCUUCACGCACUACCUUUUCAAUCAGACAUAGCAAUGUUCUCAGUUCAGCUGAAAGACGGUCCAGUCUUAAGAUCUAUUCAGAUCACAGUUAUUAAGCUUAAUUAUAAUUUACUUGCUUAAGUCCAAUAUCAAUCAUGGUUCAUGUGGGUUAAGUACAAUUUACUUGCUUAAGUGAUUGGAGUUGUGAUAUCAAGUUAAAGUUAUUUAAUUCUUCAAUCAAUCUUAAGUUUGAUUACUUAACGAGGCCAAUGCACUUGGAAGAAGAACAACAUUGAAUGAAAAAGAUUAUAUUAAUUUUUAAUCAGUUACAAAAGGAGGGCCUGAGGUCAGUACAUCGAAAUUAACUGAAAAGUAAACUAUCUUAAGCCUCGGAUGAUGGCGGAGGUGCCUCGGCAGUAGGAGCCUCCGCAUCUUGAGCAUCAAAACUCCCUUUUUCUGCAUCCGCUGCUUCAUCUCCAACUGUUUCAUCAGCUGGGGUCUAAGGCACUUCAUCCACAAACUCCAACCUCAGCUAUGACGGGUCUUGAUUUGGGAAGAGUUCCUCAGCCCUCUCCAUCAUUUCGGUAUAAGCAUAAUUCCUCCAGUAGACACUGAAGCUUUUGUACUCCUCAGUGUUGUGGAAGUUGGCAAUGUAGUCUUUGUCUGUCUCCUUCCUCGCCACAUUGGCCUCCUCCUUUACCUUGGCCAAUUCAUCCACAUACCAUUUCAUUUGGCCAUCCAAGAAUUUGUAGGCAUCUUGGGCCCCAGCCAGCUGCAAAUUGGCCUUCUCCAAGGCCUCAGCAAUCACCUUUUGGUGGUUAUUGGAUACCUCCACUUUCUUAGUAAGGGAAGCCACCUCGCACUGGGAUUCAUAGACCUCCUACUUCAAGGCCUCAAUCUGAGCCAAAGCAGACUCCAGCUUGGCCGUAUCUUUGAUUUUUUGGGCCCUCCCUUCCUCUGCCUCGACCCUAGCCUUCUUUAGCUCCUCUGCAAGGGAGGUCACCUUCUUCUUUGAGGAUUAGGUCGUUGUCUGAAAAUCAGUAAGGGCCUCUCUGCACUCCAGUGCGAGGCCAAAAGUCCUCACACUUUGGCUCACAAGAGCCUUUGUCAAGUCCACCGAGUCGCAGGAAGAGGCAUGCAACUACUACCGGUCCUUCCAAAAUUUAUAGAAGCUCUCUGUAGCACUUUGGAUCUCGGCUGGCAGAGCCUCCACCAACGCCGGGGCCAGGACCUCCUUCUUCCCAGCAAAGAAGUUCAGGGAUUUCCCUUGCACUCUUGUGGGCCUCUACUUGGUAGCUUCAUCCUCUGCCUUCUCAGUAGCCCUCCUCGCAGCAGCCUCCUCAACAUUGGCAUGCCGCACCAUUUCAAUUUUCACUGCUUUUGAGGCGGCCUCCAGGAGCUUCGGCUGAGGCACUUCUUUUCCUUCGUGGGACACAGAGGUCCUGAACUUCCAAGAUGAGCUGGUGACGUGCACCAUCUUCCUUCUCUUUUGCUCCUCAAGGACCUUCUCCUUUCCUUGAGGGUCUUUGGCCUCUGAGGGGUCCCCUCCUCAGCAGCCCUGGAACUGCUAUCUUUGGAGAGUCACUCCGCCCUUCCCCGAACCUCCUUUACACCACUUGACCCUUGCUUCAGGGGCCUCAUCGUCACAUUGGAUGUGGCCCUAAGGAUAGAGGCCAUGUCCGGGGCUGGAUACUUCCUCCUCUUGAACUUGUGUGCAAAGCAGGUCAGUACAUCAGCAUUGAAAUAAAANCCCCAAGGCUCUUAGGCCUUCUCCGGCCUCUGAGGGGUCGCCUCCUCAGCAGCCCUGGAACUGCUAUCUUUGGAGAGUCACUCCGCCCUUCCCCGAACCUCCUUUGCACCACUUGACCCUUGCUUCAGGGGCCUCAUCGUCACAUUGGAUGUGGCCCUAAGGAUAGAGGCCAUGUCCGGGGCUGGAUACUUCCUCCUCUUGAACUUGUGUGCAAAGCAGGUCAGUACAUCAGCAUUGAAAUAAAAAGCAAGAAAUACACAAGUAUACAAGCCUCUUACCUUUGGAGGCCAUCAAUUCAAAGUCAAUGAAGUAGUGGCUUCGAUCGAUGAAGUGGUCGAAGUGCUGAAGUUUCAGAGGUCUCUUGUAAAUGUCUUCUAUCACUUCAAACUCCUCCUUGCUCAACUCGAACCUUGUACUACAAUCUGCACAGCAAGCCUCAACAAGUUAGAAAAAGAAAAUUUUGAAUACAUAAUGUAAACUACUUAGGCCGGGAGACUCACGAGUUUCGUAGUACUGGGUCAGUACUGUGCAAGCCAAGGUUGUGUCCCCCUCCACUGCCUACCACCUACCCCUCACUCAGAACCACAAUUCCUUCUAACCCUUGAUGGAAGAAGACAGCCCCACCACAAAUGGUGCGUGAGCUCCCCAAGGAGUUAACUAAUACCACCCCCUUAACUCCUUACCUGUCACCCUAGGCUGGAACAGGGUCAUGAAGACGUGGAGAGGCAUGUCCUCCCCAAGUGACACUUUCUUCCACAUGAAGUACAAACCAACCAACUGGCUCCACCCAUUUAGCAGAACCUGGGUCAGCGAAAACAUAAAGUUCCUUAGCACUGCCCUAAAGAAGAGGUGCAGAGAAAAAUGCAUACUUGCUUUAAACAGGUAUUCACUUACCCCCACGCAUUCGAGCCUCGGAUAGCAGGCGCGCUCAUGAGCCUCGGGCAUCAACAUUUCGACAUAAUGAGGUACACAGUACCUCUCCCUUUUCUUCCCCAGCCUCUUUAAAGUCAUAUUUGAAGGCACUCUAGACGCCCCCCACUCCUCACUAUAAUCUACUGGCUCCUCAAUCAUAGCAUAUUGCUCGACCUCGGGGUCCCCUUUGUGACUCGCCCUCUCGCCGAAUGACGCAACAGUUAUUAAUUCCUACCCGAUGUGGACUCUAUAUCAGAAAAGGAUGAACUCAAUGCAAGGGAUUUUCAGUGAAAAUACUUAUGGAAAAUGACUACACGAAUGAAGUAACGUCGAAAAAUGAGAAGAUCAACUAUUUGGACGCCGAAAAACUUGAGGUUUUUAAGAAGAAAUCAGAUUGCAAAGGUUGAAAAUCCAGAAAAAUGGGGGGCUCUCGUCUUUUAUAAAGGGCUAGGACGAACCCCAGUCAUCUGAUCAAAGCCCAUUGAAUCUGAACCCUUUAUUCUAAACCAAAUCCAAGGCGUAGAAUUCAAACGAUUUUUCAAACCUACGCUUCGGAUUCAAGCGUGUCCUCUACGCACCUCCCCAAAUGCGUCUGCUUCUAGAAGCUCCAGCUGUGCUCAUAAUUACAACUUUAAUUUGACGGCAGUAGACGCCUUGGAAGUUGAAUAGUCCAGCCACUUUCCUCAAAAAUAUGCGUAAAACAUCAAAUCAUUGGCACAACUAUCGAGGAACAAUCAUUACUAAUGAGCAUCAGAAUUCAGCCUUCACAAGCCUCGUAGGUUCGAUUCUCAACCACCUCGACUUCCUCAUCACAAUUCAGCCAUCAAGCCUCGCAGGUUUGGUUCUCACCCACCUCGAUUUCCUCAUCACAAUUGAGCCAUCAAGCUUCACAGAUUCGGUUCUCACCCACCUCGGCUUUCUCAUCACAAUUCAACCUCCACAAGCCUCGCAGGUUCGGUUCUCAAACCACCUCGGCUUCAUCAUUUUUCGUAACAAUUUUCAUCAUUCUUCCAUAACGGCACAUUUCUAACUCCAACCAUGAUAUAAAUAUCUAUACUUGGACUUGGGGGACUCUUAUUUAGGGUACAAAAAUUUCAAAAAUUUCUUUAAACCUAACUGGCUAGCCUUACUUCGUUAAAGUCCUCGCAUUAAACAAAUGACUAUACUUGGACUUGGGGACCAUUGUUACAUGUUUGCACACUUGGGAAACCCAUCGAGGCCCACAGCUAACUCAUGCCGAACCAUAUGGCACUCAAGCCGAGGUGAUUUACAUAGUCGAGGCUCACAACCGAGGUCCACAAAAGCCGAGGCCCAUAUAUACCGAGGCCCAUCUAUCAUUGCCUCUUGAGGAGUUACUGAAGUCCAUAUGCCGAGGCCUUUUGAAGGUGGACAAAGCCCUGUUGAUCGAAGCUCUGUGAUCGAGGUAAUAGCCUCCGAAUCACAAAGCAGCAUCUUCAAUAGAAGCUUCUCCCAAGAGAUCCUCUACACAAAGAUCUUACUUGAAUGAUUGAUAGAACGUUUGUCAUUAGUGUAAAUGUUAAGUCCUAUCAUUAGUAGAGGCGGCUUUGCCAAUCAAUAAAUGUAUAGUAGGCUAGGUGCGGCUAAUGCCUACAAUUUGACAUGUAAAUUAACCAGAUUAGGUCACGUGUACCCCGAACCAAAGGUCACGAUCUAACUUGUGACGGAAAAUUCUACUUGUACAUAAUUAUUACACAUAAUGGUAUCCAUAAUGUGAUGUGACAAUCAUCCGGUUAUUGAUGUGCAAGUGUGAGAUUUGAAUUAAAGGUUGGAUCCAGUGUCACGUGUAAUUAUGGACAUCAUUAUGUAGACAAUUAUAUACAUGUAGUACUUCCCAACUUGUGACACUAUAAAUACUCCACCAUGUAUCCCAUACAAAGGCUAAUGCAAGAAUCAAU